Molecule: ribosomal RNA, 253 nt
Filed under: uncultured bacterium
Lineage: Bacteria
Description: partial 16S ribosomal RNA
Rfam family: Bacterial small subunit ribosomal RNA
Source: RNAcentral
UACGUAGGGUGCAAGCGUUGUCCGGAAUUAUUGGGCGUAAAGAGCUCGUAGGCGGUUUGUCGCGUCGGCUGUGAAAACUCGGGGCUCAACCCCGAGCCUGCAGUCGAUACGGGCAGACUAGAGUGCUGUAGGGGAGACUGGAAUUCCUGGUGUAGCGGUGAAAUGCGCAGAUAUCAGGAGGAACACCUGUGGCGAAAGCGGCGCACUGGACCACAACUGACGCUGAGGCGCGAAAGCUAGGGGAGCAAACAGG